Biomphalaria glabrata is the source of this 1066-nucleotide long non-coding RNA. RefSeq lists it as uncharacterized. The record is from RefSeq and is a predicted model, not a curated record. NCBI's taxonomy places the organism in Eukaryota, Metazoa, Mollusca, Gastropoda, Planorbidae. The transcript has 3 exons.
AUUAACGUCUAUAUUAUAUAAGAUAAGAUACGAUCACAGAUCACAAGAGGUUGGUAAAACGAUGCUAAGUUAAUCUUUACCAAAACUUUUAGCGCGUUCACUAUUUACAUUUUUCUUCAGUGCUAUUAGGGUGUGAAAGGAAAGGCCAGGAACACAAAACCUUUGUGUAUGUGUGUGUGUGCGUACCGUAUAGGCCAACGUGGUCGUUUUUGGACCUGCUCGCUAUAAGCAGCCGAAGGCAGCGCUAACCACGGGAAUUUUCCUCAUAUUCCUAUAUUGUAACCUGGGUUACCAAGACAACGUAAAAGAGUGCUUUAGAUUUAAACCGUCAUACACUAAUGCAGAAGUCUCCUGGGCGGGAAGAAAACGUAGGCUAUUUACGCCGUCAUAGCCCACACAUCCACACACAACGCAAGACACGAACAAUGACAACUAGACUGCAGAAGAAAGAAACGAAACAAUUCAAAGGGAUUGAAACUGAAGCUUCCGCACGGGUAAUAAUCCUAUGGUGUAUACAUUCAUCUCAUGUCCAGCUCAAGAACAGCUAACGUGACAAUGCAGAAAUGAUACCAUCUCCAAAUGUGAAAAAUCUUAAUAAUCAAACAAUGAGAAACAAUGGAAGGAACACAAAGAAAGGGUCGUCCAAAGCAGGAUAGUUGGACAAUGAGAAUGGUAUGGCCUCUCUUGAUAUCCUGAUGAGAACAGCUGGUGACUGGGAAAAGUGGAUGGAUUUUGUUACACAAAUUGUCACAGCACCCCUACUAUGAAUGCAUAGUUAGUUAUUCAAGUUUCUCUUCUAAAUUAUAGAUGUUCUCAAUAAUCUCUGAAGCUUGAAAAGGUUAACAGUGUGAUAAAUAGUAGCAAAUGAUUAUAAUAUAAAGGUAAUAAUUUCUUUGUAAUGAAAAAAACAUCUAUAGAAAUUAUGUACAUUUUGUGUUUAUUUAUUUGUAAUUUUUUUUUUGGAGAUUAGGAGAAAAGAAAAAGCAAUGUUUUCAAAAUUAGCACUUAAAUGGUAAUUUUGGGCUUUUUUUUUUUUAUUUAAAAAAAAAAGAUUAUUACCUGAAAU